UACGAAGGGGGCUAGCGUUGUUCGGAAUUACUGGGCGUAAAGCGCACGUAGGCGGAUAUUUAAGUCAGGGGCGAAAUCCCGGGGCUCAACCCCGGAACUGCCUUUGAUACUGGGUAUCUCGAGUCCGAGAGAGGUGAGUGGAAUUCCGAGUGUAGAGGUGAAAUUCGUAGAUAUUCGGAGGAACACCAGUGGCGAAGGCGGCUCACUGGCUCGGCAUUGACGCUGAGGUGCGAAAGCGUGGGGAGCAAACAGG
This 253-nucleotide ribosomal RNA is filed under the name uncultured bacterium. Its description in RNAcentral is "partial 16S ribosomal RNA". It matches the Rfam family "Bacterial small subunit ribosomal RNA", at positions 524 to 776 of the family's 1533-position model. The record is from RNAcentral.